UGUUAAGAGGCGCGGUGUCGGUGUGCUUGUAUGUGAGGAAGAGAAUUCUCUGGAUGUAGAGAGCGGCCAGGAAAUCCGAUGUUCACCCGGGCAUGGGAACGGGUCUCGGCCCGGACUCCGGUGCGGUGCAGGGUAGGCAGGCUUAUAUAGAUAGUCUAGGGUAGGUACAGGGUAGGCACAGGGUAGGUAGAAGUCUGGUAUACAGUACGGGCGGGUGUAGGGUAGGCUCAGACACCGAUCCGUUUCGCGCCCUUACCUUUGCGCGAGAAACGACGAUCUUGGCUGGGAUGGAGG
This 294-nucleotide unclassified non-coding RNA is filed under the name Fusarium pseudoanthophilum. RNAcentral's name for it is "partial contains 28S ribosomal RNA, 28S-18S ribosomal RNA intergenic spacer, and 18S ribosomal RNA". The record is from RNAcentral. Lineage: Eukaryota; Fungi; Ascomycota; Sordariomycetes; Hypocreales; Nectriaceae.